Non-coding RNA from Ictidomys tridecemlineatus (thirteen-lined ground squirrel), 1594 nucleotides. Lineage: Eukaryota; Metazoa; Chordata; Mammalia; Rodentia; Sciuridae. The record is from RefSeq and is a predicted model, not a curated record.
AAAAAAACCAAAAAAUGAAUUUUUGCUGAUCCUACCUGUCCACUGUAGGUUGAGUGGGUUUGACUCUAUCCAUCAUGGCCACCCACAGAAUCUGGGGGAUAGAGCAGCUGUUGUACCAGGGGAGAGGAAAACCCUGGUGGUUUUGCACCAGCCACUAAAGAUGAUGCAGAGGAAGUGACAGGCAUCACUUCUGCCCUGAUGAGACACUGUGCAGAACAAGUCUUGAGGUCCCACUGAGCCACGUGGAGCCUGGAAGAAGGAGAUGUGAAAACAUUUGGCACAGCGCCUGGCAACCCAGGCCUGGGCAGCCUGGUGGCCUUGGUGGGUGCAACUGUCCCAAGAGACAGAGCCAGCAGCUAAGUGAUGAGCUGGUGGUGUCCAUGGAGCCUGGCUGUCCCUGGGCUGGGAUUUGACUCCGCGUCUGUCUGGCUCAGCACCCAGGAAGCUACGCCAUGGAGGGUUGCCACGAGGUUUAAAGGAGAUUAGGAAAGGCUCCAUGGAGUAGCUUCUGACUUGAGGGGUACUCAGCCAGCGGCAUCCCUGAGAGUGGGCAUUUCCUGGGGGCCAGGCCCUUUGCCAACCAGUGUGCACCAGCCAGACCAAAGCAGGCACCAGCGGCUGCAACCAUCUUAUGGAUGAAGCAGGACGGAGUCCAGAGAAGCUGGACUGAGGUAUCUCACCCUGACCUAUUGGAACAGCAUCACCUAAUUCAACAGUCAUCCCUGAAAGGUGCCUAGUUUGAGGCCCUCCCUGGGCUGAGUGUGUAUUAGGCAGGAUAUGUAACGCUAUGCUGCAGUAACAAGUAACCUGAGGUCUUUCUUACCACAUGUGGCCCUUUUCUUUUCAUUUUCUGUCUUGGAGGCUGUCAAUCAAGCUCUGCCUUACCCCCCUCCCCCUUCCUUCUGCCAAAUCCUUGGCUACCCUCAGCUCCAUUUCCCUCCAGAGGGAAUCACAUCAUUACAAGAGUCCCCCCCACACACAAAGACAAGACCAGCAGGCCCAUGAAAGUCACUUGGUCCAGCCUCACACUGGAAAUCGAUGCACUGAGAUGGCCCAUCCCGCCUCUGUGGGCCCCGGGCCCCUGGGGGCCUCUCACCAGGCUCAUCCUCUCCCAUGGGUGGGCAGCGAGGCUCUAGGAAGCAUCCCUGAUCUCUUGCCCUCCGUGCCCUUGUGCUGCUCUCUGCUGCUACCAGAGAGCUGUCAGUCAUCUGGCAGAGGAGAGGUGCUGGGAGAGGAAGCCAGGAUCUCACUGCCACACCCACCCUCUGACGCCUUGGGGGGGCCUCUGGCCUGGGUCCUGGGAAAUCCAUGUCUUUUACUGCUUCACCGAGACUAGAGCCAUGGCGGAGCCCCGGUAGGUGUGGAAGACAUUCCUGGUUCUGGCUCAGCUCCUGGUGGGAGGCCCGGGCCUCUCGCAGAGCUGGCCCUCUCGCUGUUCAUUGGCAGGAGGCUGACGCAGAGCCACUGUCUCCAGGGUGACCUGUCCAGUGUCUGUGGCUCAGGAAGCAGCAAGGGCAGAGGGUUCUCAGAGACUCUGGAGUCCUGGAAAAUCAAAAACCAAAAAUAAACAAAGUCCCCAUUGCCCUGAAAUGAA